AGGAUGAACGCUAGCGACAGGCCUAACACAUGCAAGUCAGGGGCAGCACAAGGAGCAAUCUGAGGUGGCGACCGGCGCACGGGUGAGUAACACGUAUGCAACCUGCCUGUAAGCGGGGAAUAACCCGUUGAAAGACGGACUAAUACCGCAUAAUACUAAAUUACUGCAUGGUAAUUUAUUUAAACAUUUAUGGCUUACAGAUGGGCAUGCGCAUGAUUAGCUAGUUGGAGAGGUAACGGCUCCCCAAGGCAACGAUCAUUAGGGGUUCUGAGAGGAAGGUCCCCCCACACUGGUACUGAGACACGGACCAGACUCCUACGGGAGGCAGCAGUGAGGAAUAUUGGUCAAUGGACGAGAGUCUGAACCAGCCAAGUCGCGUGCAGGAAGAAUGUCCUAUGGAUUGUAAACUGCUUUUGCAGGGGAAUAAAGUGCAUCACGUGUGAUGUUUUGUAUGUACUCUGCGAAUAAGGAUCGGCUAACUCCGUGCCAGCCGCGGC
This 497-nucleotide ribosomal RNA is filed under the name uncultured bacterium. Its description in RNAcentral is "bacterial SSU rRNA". It matches the Rfam family "Bacterial small subunit ribosomal RNA", at positions 26 to 518 of the family's 1533-position model. The record is from RNAcentral.